CCUACGGGUGGCAGCAGUGAGGAAUAUUGGUCAAUGGGCUUACGCCUGAACCAGCCAAGUCGCGUGAGGGAAGACUGCCCUAUGGGUUGUAAACCUCUUUUGUCAGGGAGCAACGCCGGCUACGUGUAGCCGGACUGAGAGUACCUGAAGAAAAAGCAUCGGCUAACUCCGUGCCAGCAGCCGCGGUAAUACGGAGGAUGCGAGCGUUAUCCGGAUUUAUUGGGUUUAAAGGGUGCGUAGGCGGAAUGCCAAGUCAGCGGUAAAAUCGCGGGGCUCAACCUCGCUCCGCCGUUGAAACUGGGUGUGUUGAGUGGGCGAGAAGGAAGCGGAAUGCGUGGGGUAGCGGUGAAAGGCAUAGAUAGCACGCAGAACUCCGAUUGGGAAGGCAGCAGACCGGCGCCCAACUGACGCUGAAGCACGAAAGCGUGGGUAUCGAACAGGAUUAGAUACCCCUGUAGUC
RNAcentral lists this ribosomal RNA (460 nucleotides) under uncultured bacterium. RNAcentral describes it as "partial 16S ribosomal RNA". It matches the Rfam family "Bacterial small subunit ribosomal RNA", at positions 338 to 795 of the family's 1533-position model. The record is from RNAcentral.